CUACUUUCCAAGUGGUUCUAGUCUCCAGUGUGCAUAGCUCUUUCGUCCUGCUGAACUAUGGAAACAUUUCAGAAACGGAACAAAUUUGGCAGGCUGGUUACAGCACAGUGGAUUCUGUCAGUUCUUUUACAAGUCCAGCAGCCAGUGCCCCACAGCUCUCUUCUAUCAGCAAUAUUAAUGUGAAUGGCAGCUGCUCUUUUUAUGUUGAUGGCUCACCGAACUUACCAACUAAUUUCCUACCUCCUGUGGAUGAAGACAUAGUGAAUCCCCCUGCUGAAGAUGGAAGCUCUGGUGUCAUUUUCUUGCAGCAGCCUUUCAAAUACUUUGGACGCACAUACAAUCAGAUCGCCG
Molecule: long non-coding RNA, 351 nt
Organism: Puntigrus tetrazona (Sumatra barb)
Lineage: Eukaryota; Metazoa; Chordata; Actinopteri; Cypriniformes; Cyprinidae
Exons: 3
Source: RefSeq, a predicted model, not a curated record